This 695-nucleotide ribosomal RNA is filed under the name uncultured bacterium. RNAcentral describes it as "bacterial SSU rRNA". It matches the Rfam family "Bacterial small subunit ribosomal RNA", at positions 140 to 851 of the family's 1533-position model. The record is from RNAcentral.
GGGAUAACAUUCUGAAAAGAAUGCUAAUACCGCAUGACAUAUCGGAACCACAUGGUUCUGAUAUCAAAGAUUUUAUCGCUUGAAGAUGGACUCGCGUCCGAUUAGUUAGUUGGUGAGGUAACGGCUCACCAAGACCGCGAUCGGUAGCCGGACUGAGAGGUUGAACGGCCACAUUGGGACUGAGACACGGCCCAGACUCCUACGGGAGGCAGCAGUGGGGGAUAUUGCGCAAUGGGGGCAACCCUGACGCAGCAACGCCGCGUGAAGGAUGAAGGUUUUCGGAUUGUAAACUUCUUUUAUUAAGGACGAAAAAUGACGGUACUUAAUGAAUAAGCUCCGGCUAACUACGUGCCAGCAGCCGCGGUAAUACGUAGGGAGCAAGCGUUGUCCGGAUUUACUGGGUGUAAAGGGUGCGUAGGCGGCUUUGCAAGUCAGAUGUGAAAUCUAUGGGCUCAACCCAUAAACUGCAUUUGAAACUGUAGAGCUUGAGUGAAGUAGAGGCAGGCGGAAUUCCCCGUGUAGCGGUGAAAUGCGUAGAGAUGGGGAGGAACACCAGUGGCGAAGGCGGCCCGCUGGGCUUUAACUGACGCUGAGGCACGAAAGCGUGGGUAGCAAACAGGAUUAGAUACCCUGGUAGUCCACGCUGUAAACGAUGAAUACGAGGUGUGGGGGGUCUGACCCCUUCCGUGCCGGAG